GUGCCCGCUUCAGCGGCACAUAUGAUGAAAUUGGAAUGAUACGGAGAAGGUUAGCAUGGCUCCUGCUGAAGGAUGUUCAUAAAAUGUUCCAUAUUUAAAAAACACUGUU
This 109-nucleotide small nuclear RNA is filed under the name Ailuropoda melanoleuca (giant panda). The record is from RNAcentral. Lineage: Eukaryota; Metazoa; Chordata; Mammalia; Carnivora; Ursidae.